UACAUGGGGUGCAAACGUUGCUCGGAAUUAUUGUGCGUAAAGCGCACGUAGGCGGUUUGUUAAGUCGGAUGUGAAAUCCCUCGGCUCAACUGAGGAAGUGCAUCCGAAACUGGCAAGCUUGAGUACGAAAGAGGAUCGCGGAAUUCCCGGUGUAGAGGUGAAAUUCGUAGAUAUCGGGAGGAACACCGGUGGCGAAGGCGGCGAUCUGGGUCGAUACUGACGCUGAGGUGCGAAAGCGUGGGGAGCAAACAGG
RNAcentral lists this ribosomal RNA (253 nucleotides) under uncultured bacterium. RNAcentral's name for it is "partial 16S ribosomal RNA". It matches the Rfam family "Bacterial small subunit ribosomal RNA", at positions 524 to 776 of the family's 1533-position model. The record is from RNAcentral.